UGGGGAAUAUUGCACAAUGGGCGGAAGCCUGAUGCAGCAACGCCGCGUGCGGGAUGACGGCCUUCGGGUUGUAAACCGCUUUCGCCUGUGACGAAGCGUGAGUGACGGUAAUGGGUAAAGAAGCACCGGCUAACUACGUGCCAGCAGCCGCGGUGAUACGUAGGGUGCGAGCGUUGUCCGGAUUUAUUGGGCGUAAAGGGCUCGUAGGUGGUUGAUCGCGUCGGAAGUGUAAUCUUGGGGCUUAACCCUGAGCGUGCUUUCGAUACGGGUUGACUUGAGGAAGGUAGGGGAGAAUGGAAUUCCUGGUGGAGCGGUGGAAUGCGCAGAUAUCAGGAGGAACACCAGUGGCGAAGGCGGUUCUCUGGGCCUUUCCUGACGCUGAGGAGCGAAAAGCGUGGGGAGCGAACAGGCUUAGAUACCCUGGUAGUCCACGCUGUAAACGGUGGGUACUAGGUGUGGGGGUCCAUUUCCACGGGUUCCGUGCCGUAGCUAACGCUUUAAGUACCCCGCCUGGGGGAGUACGCCGCAAGGCUAAAACUCAAAUGAAUUGACGGGGGUCAUAGCUGUUUCCU
Molecule: ribosomal RNA, 572 nt
Filed under: uncultured bacterium
Lineage: Bacteria
Description: partial 16S ribosomal RNA
Rfam family: Bacterial small subunit ribosomal RNA
Source: RNAcentral